Molecule: non-coding RNA, 361 nt
Organism: Paramuricea clavata
Lineage: Eukaryota; Metazoa; Cnidaria; Anthozoa; Malacalcyonacea; Plexauridae
Source: the annotation of a GenBank genome assembly
UUCCGCAUUCGAGUAGCCAUAUUAAAACUUCGAGUGGUUUGAGCGUCUUAAAAAUCUGCCUUUGCCACAACAAAAUAUUUGAGGUUCGUGUUUGUUUUGGGUUUUUUACUUGCUUGAAAAAAACUAUGUCGUCGAUUUAAAUGAAAUUUGUGACAUCUGCCGUAUAUGGCAACGUCUACUGCAGGGCACCUUUCCUAAAAUGGACUGACAGUAUUCAGAUAUUUCAUCCAGGCAUUAAAAUACGGAAUUUUUACAAGGACACACUUUGCCUUCAGAGGCGUAUUGUUGGCAUAAUGCGUAGACACGAGAACGAGUGGCGAAGCCACAAGUUUAGCGUCGAAGACGCAAGCUUUUAAGGGGG